UCACUUCACAUUCAUCGCCGAUCGCCUAUAUCGGGCGUGCCGGAUUCGUCCGGAGAUGGCGAUGAACGAUGCCGUGUAAUAGAUGCAGCGGACCCGGGGGCAGUACCCGGCGGCUCCACCAAAAACCCCGGAAACGGGGCUUCUGACGGGGCCGAACCAGGAUCGACGUGUGUUCAAAGACGGUGUUUUCGCCCGGGCUGAGUAACCCGUUAAAGGCUCAAAACGACAAGUGCCAACGACAACGAGGCGCUCGCGAUUGCUGCCUAACUGAACCCCUCUUGGGACUAGGUUAGAAAGCUUUAGCGCGGUCCGGGCCGCACCGGGCAACAGAAGCGGAUUCCA
Molecule: transfer-messenger RNA, 342 nt
Filed under: Sphingomonas sanxanigenens
Lineage: Bacteria; Pseudomonadati; Pseudomonadota; Alphaproteobacteria; Sphingomonadales; Sphingomonadaceae
Rfam family: Alphaproteobacteria transfer-messenger RNA
About the family: Bacterial tmRNA, also known as 10Sa RNA or SsrA, is named for its dual tRNA and mRNA-like properties. Its role is to liberate the mRNA from a stalled ribosome.
Source: RNAcentral